RNAcentral lists this ribosomal RNA (611 nucleotides) under uncultured archaeon. RNAcentral's name for it is "bacterial SSU rRNA". It matches the Rfam family "Archaeal small subunit ribosomal RNA", at positions 70 to 682 of the family's 1478-position model. The record is from RNAcentral.
AGUAAUGCAAGGCAUACGGCUCAGUAAUACGUAGUCAACUUACCCUAUGGACGAGGAUAAUCUCGGGAAACUGAGCAUAAUACUCGAUAGAUCAUAAUGCCUGGAAUGGUUUAUGGUCGAAAUGAUUCGUCGCCAUAGGAUGGGACUGCGGCCUAUCAGCUUGUUGGUGAGGUAAUGGCCCACCAAGGCGAUUACAGGUACGGGCUCUGAGAGGAGAAGCCCGGAGAUGGGUACUGAGACAAGGACCCAGGCCCUAUGGGGCGCAGCAGGCGAGAAAACUUUGCAAUGUGCGAAAGCACGACAAGGUUAAUCCGAGUGAUUUCUGCUAAAGAAAUCUUUUGCAAGUCAUAAAACCACUAGUGAAUAAGGGGUGGGCAAGUUCUGGUGUCAGCCGCCGCGGUAAAACCAGCACCUCAAGUGGCCAGGAGGAUUAUUGGGCCUAAAGCAUCCGUAGCCGGCUCUGUAAGUUUUCGGUUAAAUCCAUGUGCUCAACGCAUGGGCUGCCGAAAAUACUGCAUAGCUAGGGAGUGGGAGAGGUAGACGGUACUCGGUAGGAAGGGGUAAAAUCCUUUGAUCUAUCGAUGACCACCUGUGGCGAAGGCGGUCUACCA